AUUAUGUGGUUUUAAUUCGAUGAUACGCGAGGAACCUUACCAAGGCUUAAAUGGGAAUUGAUCGGUUUAGAGAUAGACCUUCCUUCGGGCAAUUUUCAAGGUGCUGCAUGGUUGUCGUCAGCUCGUGCCGUGAGGUGUUAGGUUAAGUCCUGCAACGAGCGCAACCCCUGUCACUAGUUGCCAUCAUUCAGUUGGGGACUCUAGUGAGACUGCCUACGCAAGUAGAGAGGAAGGUGGGGAUGACGUCAAAUCAUCACGGCCCUUACGCCUUGGGCCACACACGUAAUACAAUGGCCGGUACAGAGGGCAGCUACACAGCGAUGUGAUGCAAAUCUCGAAAGCCGGUCUCAGUUCGGAUUGGAGUCUGCAACUCGACUCUAUGAAGCUGGAAUCGCUAGUAAUCGCGCAUCAGCCAUGGCGCGGUGAAUACGUUCCCGGGCCUUGUACACACCGCCCGUCAAGCCAUGGAAGUCUGGGGUACCUGAAGUCGGUGACCGUAAAAGGAGCUGCCUAGGGUAAAACAGGUAACUAGGGCUAAGUCGUAACAAGGUAACC
RNAcentral lists this ribosomal RNA (555 nucleotides) under uncultured bacterium. RNAcentral's name for it is "bacterial SSU rRNA". It matches the Rfam family "Bacterial small subunit ribosomal RNA", at positions 936 to 1501 of the family's 1533-position model. The record is from RNAcentral.